RNAcentral lists this ribosomal RNA (234 nucleotides) under Glomus sp. RNAcentral describes it as "partial small subunit ribosomal RNA". It matches the Rfam family "Eukaryotic small subunit ribosomal RNA", at positions 547 to 783 of the family's 1831-position model. The record is from RNAcentral. Lineage: Eukaryota; Fungi; Glomeromycota; Glomeromycetes; Glomerales; Glomeraceae.
UUUGGAGGGCAAGUCUGGUGCCAGCAGCCGCGGUAAUUCCAGCUCCAAUAGCGUAUAUUAAAGUUGUUGCAGUUAAAAAGCUCGUAGUUGAAUUUCGGGAUCAUCAGGUUGGUCGUGCCUCUGGUAUGUACUGAUCUAGAUGGUUCCUCCUUCUUGUAGAACCGUAAUGCCAUUAAUUUGGUGUUGCGGGAAAACAGGACUGUUACUUUGAAAAAAUUAGAGUGUUUAAAGCAG